AGAGUUUGAUCAUGGCUCAGGAUGAACGCCGGCGGUGUGCCUAAUACAUGCAAGUCGUACGCGUUGGCCCAACUGAUUGAACGUGCUUGCACGGACUUGACGUUGGUUUACCAGCGAGUGGCGGACGGGUGAGUAACACGUAGGUAACCUGCCCCAAAGCGGGGGAUAACAUUUGGAAACAGAUGCUAAUACCGCAUAACAAUUUGAAUCGCAUGAUUCAAAUUUAAAAGAUGGCUUCGGCUAUCACUUUGGGAUGGACCUGCGGCGCAUUAGCUUGUUGGUAGGGUAACGGCCUACCAAGGCUGUGAUGCGUAGCCGAGUUGAGAGACUGAUCGGCCACAAUGGAACUGAGACACGGUCCAUACUCCUACGGGAGGCAGCAGUAGGGAAUCUUCCACAAUGGGCGCAAGCCUGAUGGAGCAACACCGCGUGAGUGAAGAAGGGUUUCGGCUCGUAAAGCUCUGUUGUUAGAGAAGAACGUGCGUGAGAGCAACUGUUCACGCAGUGACGGUAUCUAACCAGAAAGUCACGGCUAACUACGUGCCAGCAGCCGCGGUAAUGCGUAGGUGGCAAGCGUUAUCCGGAUUUAUUGGGCGUAAAGCGAGCGCAGGCGGUUUGAUAAGUCUGAUGUGAAAGCCUUUGGCCUAACCAAAGAAGUGCAUCGGAAACUGUCAGACUUGAGUGCAGAAGAGGACAGUGGAACUCCAUGUGUAGCGGUGGAAUGCGUAGAUAUAUGGAAGAACACCAGUGGCGAAGGCGGCUGUCUGGUCUGCAACUGACGCUGAGGCUCGAAAGCAUGGGUAGCGAACAGGAUUAGAUACCCUGGUAGUCCAUGCCGUAAACGAUGAGUGCUAGGUGUUGGAGGGUUUCCGCCCUUCAGUGCCGCAGCU
Molecule: ribosomal RNA, 890 nt
Filed under: uncultured bacterium
Lineage: Bacteria
Description: bacterial SSU rRNA
Rfam family: Bacterial small subunit ribosomal RNA
Source: RNAcentral